GUGCCAGCAGCCGCGGUAAUACGGAGGUGGCAAGCGUUGUUCGGAAUCACUGGGCAUAAAGAGCACGUAGGCGGCAAGGCAAGUCGGGUGUGAAAUCCCCCAGCUUAACUGGGGAAUUGCGCUCGAUACUGCCUCGCUAGAGGACAGGAGGGGAGAGUGGAACUCUAGGUGGAGCGGUGAAAUGCGUUGAUAUCUAGAGGAACGCCGGUGGCGAAAGCGACUCUCUGGCCUGUUCCUGACGCUGAGUGUGCGAAAGCUAGGGUAGCGAACGGGAUUAGAUACCCCGGUAGUCCUAGCCGUAAACGAUGGGCACUAAGUAGAGGACACUCCGAUGUUUUCUCUGCCGGAGCUAACGUAUUAAGUGCCCCGCCUGGGGAGUAUGGUCGCAAGGCUAAAACUCAAAGGAAUUGACGGGGACUCGCACAAGCGGUGGAGUAUGUGGCUCAAUUCGAGGCAACGCGAAAAACCUUACCUGGGCUUGACAUGCAUGAAGUC
Molecule: ribosomal RNA, 495 nt
Filed under: uncultured Planctomycetales bacterium
Lineage: Bacteria; Pseudomonadati; Planctomycetota; Planctomycetia; Planctomycetales
Description: bacterial SSU rRNA
Rfam family: Bacterial small subunit ribosomal RNA
Source: RNAcentral